UACGUAGGGUGCAAGCGUUAAUCGGAAUUACUGGGCGUAAAGCGUGCGCAGGCGGUGAUGUAAGACCGUUGUGAAAUCCCCGGGCUCAACCUGGGAACUGCAUCUGUGACUGCAUCGCUGGAGUGCGGCAGAGGGGGAUGGAAUUCCAGGUGUAGCGGUGAAAUGCGUAGAUAUCUGGAGGAACACCGGUGGCGAAGGCGACGUCCUGGACCGGUAUUGACGCUGAGGCGCGAAAGCCAGGGGAGCAAACGGG
This 253-nucleotide ribosomal RNA is filed under the name uncultured bacterium. Its description in RNAcentral is "partial 16S ribosomal RNA". It matches the Rfam family "Bacterial small subunit ribosomal RNA", at positions 524 to 776 of the family's 1533-position model. The record is from RNAcentral.